This 473-nucleotide ribosomal RNA is filed under the name uncultured delta proteobacterium. RNAcentral's name for it is "bacterial SSU rRNA". It matches the Rfam family "Bacterial small subunit ribosomal RNA", at positions 400 to 863 of the family's 1533-position model. The record is from RNAcentral. Lineage: Bacteria; Deltaproteobacteria.
CGUGAGUGAUGAAGGCCUUCGGGUCGUAAAACUCUGUCAAGUGGGAAGAACCUACGUAAGGUUAAUAUCCUUAUGUACUGACGGUACCACUGAAGGAAGCACCGGCUAACUCCGUGCCAGCAGCCGCGGUAAUACGGGGGGUGCAAGCGUUAUUCGGAAUUAUUGGGCGUAAAGGGCGCGUAGGCGGCCUGGUAAGUCAGAUGUGAAAGCCCGGGGCUUAACCCCGGAAGUGCAUUUGAUACUGCCAGGCUUGAGUAUGGGAGGGGGAAGUGGAAUUCCUGGUGUAGAGGUGAAAUUCGUAGAUAUCAGGAGGAACACCAGUGGCGAAGGCGACUUCCUGGACCAAUACUGACGCUGAGGCGCGAAGGCGUGGGGAGCAAACAGGAUUAGAUACCCUGGUAGUCCACGCAGUAAACGGUGAGAACUAGGUGUAGCGGGUAUUGACCCCUGCUGUGCCGCAGUUAACGCAUUAA